CCUACGGGUGGCAGCAGUGAGGAAUAUUGGUCAAUGGACGCAAGUCUGAACCAGCUAUGCCGCGUGCAGGAAGACGGCUCUAUGAGUUGUAAACUGCUUUUGUACGAGGGUAAACUCAGAUACGCGUAUCUGUCUGAAAGUAUCGUACGAAUAAGGAUCGGCUAACUCCGGGCCAGCAGCCGCGGUAAUACGGAGGGUUCAAGCGUUAUCCGGAUUUAUUGGGUUUAAAGGGUGCGUAGGCGGUCGGAUAAGUUAGAGGUGAAAUCCCGGGGCUCAACUUCGGAAUUGCCUCUGAUACUGUGCGGCUAGAGAGUAGUUGCGGUAGGCGGAAUGUAUGGUGUAGCGGUGAAAUGCUUAGAGAUCAGACAGAACACCGAUUGCGAAGGCAGCUUACCAAGCUACUUCUGACGUUGAGGCACGAAAGCGUGGGGAGCAAACAGGAUUAGAUACCCGUGUAGUC
RNAcentral lists this ribosomal RNA (460 nucleotides) under uncultured bacterium. RNAcentral describes it as "partial 16S ribosomal RNA". It matches the Rfam family "Bacterial small subunit ribosomal RNA", at positions 338 to 795 of the family's 1533-position model. The record is from RNAcentral.